This is a long non-coding RNA of Anneissia japonica, 820 nucleotides long. RefSeq lists it as uncharacterized. NCBI's taxonomy places the organism in Eukaryota, Metazoa, Echinodermata, Crinoidea, Comatulida, Comatulidae. The transcript has 5 exons. The record is from RefSeq and is a predicted model, not a curated record.
UUACAGCUGCACCGUCUUUACUUCGUGAUGGAAGUGUUCAAUCUUCAACCAUAUUGAGGGUUGGUCGAGACAGAUGGAAACACACAGCGAUACCACCGUAAGUGGGACCGUUGAAAUGCUUUGGUAGACCUGGAAUUAGUAUCCCACUAAUCAUCUCUCAUGAAGGUUGUUGCAGUUGGUGUUCUGAGACAAAUGGAUGGGACACAGUGAUACCACCGAAAGUGGAACGGUUGAAAUGAAUUGGUGGAAUCAGAAGUCAGCCUCCCACUAACCAUCUCUUGUGAAGAUACAAGUCAGUAGAUGGCAUAAGCAAGAACAGAGCAUUUUAAAUUUCAUUUGAAAGCAAGGAAGUUCUAAAUGUUCAUUCUAAAACGAGAUUACCAUAGAUGAAGUCCACUCAAAUUGAGAACUUGUGACAACAUAAUCCUCAGCAUUAUCUUCAUAGGUUUCAUCUGAAAUUGACCAGUAACCAAUUGUAUAACCUCUCAUCUUCAUUAAGGUUCUUACAAUUGCACCAUCUAUUCCAUGAUGAAAGUAUUCACUCUUUAACAAGAUUGCCGAUGUAUUGAGAGUUGAGCGAGAGAGAUGGAUGGGACACAGUGAUUUACUGAAUGUGGAACGGUUGAAAUGGAUUGUGGAAUCGAAAGUGUGCCUCCCACUAACCAUCUGUCAUGAAGAUUCUCUCCUGUACACCAACCUCACAAUGUAUUCUUUUACAUUUUUUGGAGGGUAAUGCUGCGUUGAUGACUUCUCGGUGUCCCAGUUAGUACAACACAAUGUAAACCUUGGUGUGACAAGGCAUAGCCAGCCAUGAGGUAUG